Non-coding RNA from Pelobates cultripes (western spadefoot toad), 230 nucleotides. Lineage: Eukaryota; Metazoa; Chordata; Amphibia; Anura; Pelobatidae. The record is from the annotation of a GenBank genome assembly.
CAAGCGGAACACUUCCCUGGCAAACACCUGAGCAAGCUGAAUAGCAGAAGGCAGUUUCUUAAGCGGAAUAAAGUGUGCCAUCUUAGAGAACCUAUCCGUCACAGUCAAUAUCACCGUCUGACCAUCAGAAGGAGGAAGGUCUACAAUAAAAUCCAUGGACAAGUGGGUCCAUGGUUUCUUGGGUACAGAUAGAGGCAUCAAUAGACCCUGGGGUCUCAUAUUAGGAGACU